AGGCCUGCGGGUUGUAAAGCACUUUCWGUAGAGAAGAAAAGCCUACGGUUAAUACCCGUGAGUCUUGACGUAACCUACAGAAGAAGCACCGGCUAACUCCGUGCCAGCAGCCGCGGUAAUACGGAGGGUGCGAGCGUUAAUCGGAAUUACUGGGCGUAAAGCGCGCGUAGGCGGCUUUGUAAGUCGGAUGUGAAAGCCCAGGGCUUAACCUUGGAAUUGCAUUCGAUACUGCAGAACUAGAGUAUGGUAGAGGGAAGUGGAAUUUCCGGUGUAGCGGUGAAAUGCGUAGAUAUCGGAAGGAACACCAGUGGCGAAGGCGACUUCCUGGGCCAAUACUGACGCUGAGGUGCGAAAGCGUGGGGAACAAACAGGAUUAGAUACCCUGGUAGUCCACGCCGUAAACGAUGAGAACUAGAUGUCGGGAGGAUUUGCCUUUCGGUGUCGCAGCUAACGCAUUAAGUUCUCCGCCUGGGGAGUACGCCGGCAACGGUAAAACUCAAAGGAAUUGACGGGGACCCGCACAAGCGGUGGAGCAUGUGGUUUAAUUCGAUGCAACGCGAAGAACCUUACCUGCCCUUGACAUUGACAGAACCCUGUAGAGAUACGGGGGUGCUUCGGCCUGGAAAACAGGUGCUGCAUGGCUGUCGUCAGCUCGUGUCGUGAGAUGUUGGGUUAAGUCCCGCAACGAGCGCAACCCUUGUCCUUAGUUGCCAGCACUUC
This 720-nucleotide ribosomal RNA is filed under the name uncultured bacterium. Its description in RNAcentral is "bacterial SSU rRNA". It matches the Rfam family "Bacterial small subunit ribosomal RNA", at positions 412 to 1127 of the family's 1533-position model. The record is from RNAcentral.